This is a long non-coding RNA of Hyla sarda, 311 nucleotides long. RefSeq lists it as uncharacterized. The transcript has 3 exons. The record is from RefSeq and is a predicted model, not a curated record. NCBI's taxonomy places the organism in Eukaryota, Metazoa, Chordata, Amphibia, Anura, Hylidae.
GGGGAGAGGAGGUCAGGGAAGUCACGGCCAGAGAUUUUCUGAGCUGCAAUGUGACAGAUCCUUCCCGGAACCAGAAAGUGGUUUGCACUGGAGGCCGAAAGCAGGAUACCAGAGGCACUAGGGAGUACUGGAGAGGUGGGGCAAGUAUUAUGAAAAAUACUAUACUCAGGUGUGGUAACAUUGAUGUUUGACUGUUCACAGGACCCAACCAUGUUUAAUAGAUUCAGAUUGUUCUGCUUGAUCUAUAGAUGAAUCAGCAUCAACUGAUCUGGCAACUUCAAGAUCCAUCACUUUGUCAAGCUCCAUUACUU